This is a long non-coding RNA of Zea mays, 348 nucleotides long. RefSeq lists it as uncharacterized. The transcript is spliced from 3 exons. Lineage: Eukaryota; Viridiplantae; Streptophyta; Magnoliopsida; Poales; Poaceae. The record is from RefSeq and is a predicted model, not a curated record.
CUUCUCAGAGCAGCGCACCUCAGUAAUCCUAUUAUGGUGGAUAUCAGGGUACAAGCAAAAAGAUUGAAAAUCCAAAUGGAAGGGUUGGUGUUAUCAUUGGAAAAGCCAGGGAAACUAUUAGGUAUAUCCAACUUCAAUCAGGAGCAAAGAUUCAAGUCACAAGAGACCAUGAAGCUGAACCUGGUGCACUAACAAGGCAAGUUGAGCUUUCUGGCAAACCUGAGCAGAUAAGCAAAGCUGAACAGUUGAUCAAAGAAGUUCUGGCAGAGGCCGAUGCUGGGUCAUCCGGUGCUAGAUCUGGAGGCCGGAAAUACAAUGCAACACAGCAAGGUGCUGAGAUGUACCAGA